Molecule: long non-coding RNA, 309 nt
Organism: Gasterosteus aculeatus aculeatus (three-spined stickleback)
Lineage: Eukaryota; Metazoa; Chordata; Actinopteri; Perciformes; Gasterosteidae
Source: Ensembl
GGUGGACAUGGUGGACAUGGAGGAACAUGGAGGAACAUGGUGGACAUGGUGGAACGUGGUGGACAUGGUGGACAUGAAGGAACAUGGUGGACAUGGUGGACGUGAAGGAACGUGGUGGACAUGGUGGACAUGGAGGAACGUGGUGGACAUGGUGGACAUGGAGGAACGUGGUGGAACGUGGUGGACAUGGUGGACAUGGAGGAACGUGGUGGAACGUGGUGGACAUGGUGGACAUGGAGGAACGUGGAGGAACGUGGAGGAACGUGGUGGACAUGGUGGACAUGGAGGAACGUGGUGGAACGUGGUGGA